Molecule: long non-coding RNA, 675 nt
Filed under: Rosa chinensis
Lineage: Eukaryota; Viridiplantae; Streptophyta; Magnoliopsida; Rosales; Rosaceae
Description: sRNA RchiOBHm_Chr2g0150561
Source: RNAcentral
GUGAAUACAUUGAUGACACAGAGGAUUACAUUAACAUCCAGCUUGACAAUCAUCGGAAUCAGCUAAUUCAGGUAAUGUCUUUUAGGAUGGAUUUAGAAACUCUGCCUGUAUUUUAUGAUCAGUACAUAUCCCUUUUGAUAGUUAACAUAAUAAGUUCUCUGUCACAUGCAGCUAGAGCUGUUUCUGAGUUCCAGAACUGUUUGUGUGUCUAUAUAUUCUUUGGUGGCUGCAAUAUUUGGCAUGAACAUUCCAUAUACAUGGAACGAAAAUCAUGAGCAUGUAUUCAAAUGGGUAUGUACAGUGUAAAUUCUUGUUGGACCAUCACAUUAUCAAUUUUAAUGCUUAGGUCAAACCUCAAAUUGAAAAAAGAAAAAGAAAAAAGAAGGUCUUAUAUGUGUUGAUCAGUUGCAGAACAUGGAAUAAGUCAUUACAGUUUCAGUCUCCUUUGGUGUUCAAAGCUACAGAACUAUUAUAUAAUAUCAGGUGUAACUAAGUAAACUGAAUGGUUUUGUUGGAAUUCAUCAUCAGUGCAGAGAUAUAUAAGAAUUGUGAGAGGAACAAAUGAAUGAUAUAUUAUUGAUAAGAAACAUGCUAGCAGCACAUGAAACCUAAACUUAUCUAAAAUUUGCCAUCUCAUCCUAUUCUAAUUGCCCUACAGUUUAGUUGUCCUAUUAG